UAAAUCAGUUAUCGUUUAUUUGAUAGUACCUUACUACUUGGAUAACCGUGGUAAUUCUAGAGCUAAUACAUGCUAAAACCCCAACUUCGGGAGGGGUGUAUUUAUUAGAUAAAAAACCAAUGCCCUUCGGGGCUCUUUGGUGAUUCAUGAUAACUUAACGGAUCGCAUGGCCUUGCGCCGGCGACGGUUCAUUCAAAUUUCUGCCCUAUCAACUUUCGAUGGUAAGGUAUUGGCUUACCAUGGUUUCAACGGGUAACGGGGAAUUAGGGUUCGAUUCCGGAGAGGGAGCCUGAGAAACGGCUACCACAUCCAAGGAAGGCAGCAGGCGCGCAAAUUACCCAAUCCCGACACGGGGAGGUAGUGACAAUAAAUACUGAUACAGGGCUCUUUUGGGUCUUGUAAUUGGAAUGAGUACAAUUUAAACCCCUUAACGAGGAACAAUUGGAGGGCAAGUCUGGUGCCAGCAGCCGCGGUAAUUCCAGCUCCAAUAGCGUAUAUUAAAGUUGUUGCAGUUAAAAAGCUCGUAGUUGAAACUUGGGCCUGGCUGUCUGGUCCGCCUCACCGCGUGUACUGGUUCGGCCGGGCCUUUCCUUCUGGAGAGCCUCAUGCCCUUCACUGGGUGUGUUGGGGAACCAGGACUUUUACUUUGAAAAAAUUAGAGUGUUCAAAGCAGGCCUUUGCUCGAAUACGUUAGCAUGGAAUAAUAGAAUAGGACGUGCGAUCCUAUUUUGUUGGUUUCUAGGACCGCCGUAAUGAUUAAUAGGGAUAGUCGGGGGCAUCAGUAUUCAAUUGUCAGAGGUGAAAUUCUUGGAUUUAUUGAAGACUAACUACUGCGAAAGCAUUUGCCAAGGAUGUUUUCAUUAAUCAGUGAACGAAAGUUAGGGGAUCGAAGACGAUCAGAUACCGUCGUAGUCUUAACCGUAAACUAUGCCGACUAGGGAUCGGGCGAUGUUAUUAUUUUGACUCG
RNAcentral lists this ribosomal RNA (967 nucleotides) under Aquimassariosphaeria typhicola. RNAcentral describes it as "SSU rRNA". It matches the Rfam family "Eukaryotic small subunit ribosomal RNA", at positions 102 to 1078 of the family's 1831-position model. Lineage: Eukaryota; Fungi; Ascomycota; Dothideomycetes; Pleosporales; Lindgomycetaceae. The record is from RNAcentral.